CACACACACAUAUACACACACACAUAUAUACACAAACAAUUUACUUUAUAGUACUUAUGCAUCAUUAUUUUAUGGAUGUACAAAAAGCACCGAAUUAAACUACAGUCCUAAAUUAUUAACAUAUAUUCUGGGGUGUGUGUGUGUGUGUGUGUAUUGGGUUCUUUUCUGUUUUGGACAAACAGUUGUGUAAAGUUUUAGUCUGAAUUUAUAUUUGUAACACUCAGUUUGCGGAUUUUAUUUUAAAAAAAGGGCUCUGAAAGUUUGCCCCGCCCCCACCCGAUUAAUCGGAAAAAUAAUCGGCCGACUAAACGAUUCUCAAAAUAAUCGUUAGUUGCAGCCCUAAUUUUGAGCUUGUGUUCACCACAGACCUUAUUUCAGGCCUUUAACCAAAAUCCCUCACUGACCAAGUCAUUGACGUUGGGAUGGACUCGGAAGCGCUGAAACGCUAACUCGUUGCCGGGUUUCAGCGCACAAAACGACGUCAUCCCUGCGCCGAAGUUUUCUAUGAGCGGAGGACGAACUUUAAACAUCAAUAUCGCAGUCGAUCGUGUUCGUGUAAUUGUGGGCGGUCAAAAUCCUAAUCGAGAUCGAUAUUCGAUUAAUAGUGCAGCCCUAUGUUGAAACGACAAUGCCGUGUGACUUGACUUUGACAAAGGGCUCCGUGAUUCAAUGUUACGUUGCGUCGUGGGAUCGAGCCGCAAGACCGAGCUCCCUGUUUACGUCAUUACGAACACCCAAAUGACAACCGGUCUAUAGUUCGAUAGAUAGCUGGAACGGCGGAAUAGUGUCGGAGUUUUUGUCGUAGAAACAGAAACGUUAAUGGAGUUACGUUGAUGAAGAGAGCGAUGGAGAGAACGAAAUAAAGAGCGAGCUCGGGUUUUCUCGAGGCGAUACGGUCAGAAAACGGCUGUUAACACGACCCCGGGGUCUAUUCGCGGAGAACCGCGAGCACGCGUCAUCCGGAGUCGGCUACUGAGUGACAUCACGGUCAGAAAUGACUUCUUUUCGUUUUGAUUUGUAGGAAAAGCUCCACUACGAUACCGCCUAGACACGCUCAUUUCUGGGCUCGACCAGAGAUCAGCAUCUCCGCGGUGUCGAUAAAGAUGAUAAAAAGACAAGUCUGUUUCAUCAGGGUGAUGCUCCAGUAUUAAAAUCUCCACCUGAGGGCAUUUUAGAGGCAAUAACCCCUAGGUCUUGUCCACACCCAUGAGUCAGUUUUGGAACACAGCUGAUGCGCCGGAGGUCUGACCCAUGACCUUUCCGUUACAUCAGCCAAACGCAUCUGUUGUGUCAGCACAACACUUCAAAUUUAAAGAUCUGUCCACUUCAGCAUCCUCAAUGAAUAACACGUAUUCUACUUUAUGUUCAUCUGAUACCAAUCCCUCCUCACAGAUUAGACAAAAUCAGAUCUCUCACAGGAGUCGUGUUUUCUCACAGGACGGCUUUACUGCACAAGGGGCGCUUUGAGACGCUAAAGCACAUGAGCAGGACGCCCACACAAAUUCCAACCAUGAAACUAAUCAGACAUGAAGUAAUCAGACUAUUCGUCAACGAAUAGAAUUCAUAUGAUCAAUUUUAUAUAACCAUCAUUACGCUGGCCUCAAUCUUUAUUCUAAUGUACGUGAACGUUUUUAUUCCGAAUAAAGCGUGUGAACGUUUUUAUUCCGAAUAAAGCGUGUACGUGAACGUUUUUAUUCCGAAUAAAGCGUGUACGUGAACGUUUUUAUUCCGAAUAAAGCGUGUACGUGAACGUUUUUAUUCCGAAUAAAGCAUAUGAAUGUGAACGUUUUUAUUCCGAAUAAAGCGAAUAUACGUGAACGUUUUUAUUCCGAAUAAAGCGUGUGUGCGAACGUUUUUAUUCCGAAUAAAGCGUGUACGUGAACGUUUUUAUUCCGAAUAAAGCGAAUAUACGUGAACGUUUUUAUUCCGAAUAAAGUGUACGUACAUGAAUGUUUUUAUUCAGAUUGCCGUGAAUGCUAACGUUUUCACUUUGAUUAAUGUGCAUCUGUGAAUGUUUUUAUUCCGGCUGACGCGCACACGUGAACCCGUUUAUUCCGACUAACCCACAUACGUGAACCCGUUUAUUCAGACUGACGCAUAUAAGUAAAUAAUUUUAUCCCAAAUAAGGUGCAUGGACGUGAACAUUUAUUAUUCAGAUUGAAUACGUGAGUGUUUUUAAACCUGAUUAAGGUGUAUACAUGAACAUUUUAUUCUGGUUAACGUGUAUACGUGAACGUUUUUAUUCCGAACAAAGUGUAUAUACACAUUAGCCUUUUUAUUCUGACGGACAUGAAUACGUGAGAGUUUUUAAAUCUGAUUAAGGUGUAUGCAUGAACACUUUAUUCCGAUUAACGUGUAUAAGCGAACGUUUUCGUGCCGAGUGACGUGCAUACGUGAACCUUUUCAUUCAAAUUAAAGUGUGUAUAUAUGAACGUUUUUAUAUUCCGGAUAAAGUGUGUAUACGUGAACGUUUUUAUAUUCCGGAUAAAAUGUGUAAACGUGAACAUUUUAUAUUCCGGAUAAAAUGUGUAUACGUGAACAUUUUAUACUCCGAAUAACGUGUAUAUACGUGAACGUUUUAAUACUCCGAAUAAUGUGUAUAUACGUGAACGUUUUAAUACUCCGAAUAACGUGUAUAUACGUGAACGUUUUAAUACUCCGAAUAAUGUGUAUAUACGUGAACGUUUUAAUACUCCGAAUAACGUGUAUAUACGUGAACGUUUUUAUUCAGACUGACGUGAAUGUUAAUGUUUUUACUUUGAUUAAUGUGCAUCUGUAAAUGUUUUCAUCCCAACUGAUGUGUAUACGUGCACUUUUUUCAUUCAGAUUAACGUGACUCCGUAAAACAUCUUUAUUACGCGUAUCGUGAACAGAGCGUGGUCAUAUGACCGCACGGUGCGAACAUCCAGGUUCAUGGGAAAUACAACCGGCUAGAAACCCGCCCCUUACUCAGACGCACGUUUAAACUGCUGAGGAGACGUCCCUCUGAUAAACGAACCCGAUCCGAAUGGCAGCUGAUCGCGAUUCGUUACGCCGCGAUAUCCUUUUACGAGACAUCGUAGUAUGUUUUCAUUUUCCGGCGUCAUCUCUCCGCCCCGGCGCCCGUUCACGCCGCUGCACCGCAGACGAAACGUUUACUAGUGAGAGCCGAGGUUGGUUCGGAAACAGAACGUCUGCGUUUAACGCGUGAUUAGACCUGCUGCGAGAAAGUGACGCAACGGCACAGUUACGUCUCCGUCCCCGGCGUUAAGCGCCCGAGAUUAACUUUUCUUGCACGCUCUUCUGCUUUUUGUGUCUUUCCUCCUCCUCUCCCUCACUCUCUCCCUUAGUCACAGAACGAACGUUUGCAGCCGAACUAACUUACUCCGUACGACAUCUCGUUUGCCGAUGAACGAUAAUCUCUGUGGCGCAAGAGGAAUAAAACACUGUGCCGGACACCCGCCCUAAUUCAGCUUCGUCUCUCACAGGACCGCCGCUGAUUAUUUUCCUCUCACAGCACUCCUUUGCGAGUGUUUGAUCCAUCCAUCCCUUACUUAUCGCUCAAAACGCGUAGUAUUGAAUAAAACACCUCGUUUUUCCACAGGAAAAAAAAUAAUUAGGACGUAAUCUUACGAAAAGUCAAAUUCUUUUUUUCUUAUUUUAUUUUACUCACAGUCAGCUUUUUAAA
This is a long non-coding RNA of Ictalurus punctatus (channel catfish), 3667 nucleotides long. Lineage: Eukaryota; Metazoa; Chordata; Actinopteri; Siluriformes; Ictaluridae. The record is from Ensembl.